AUUUUAUUUUAAUGAUUUUAAUUUUUUUUUCCAUUACAGCCGAUUUACAGUGUUCUGUCAAUUUUCUACUGUACAGCAAGGUGACCCAGUCACACAUACAUGUAUACGUUCUUUUUUCUCACAUUAUCCAUGCUCCAUCAUUAGUGACUAGAUAUAGUUCCCAGUGCUAUACAGCAGGAUCUCAUUGCUUAUCCAUUCCAGAGGCAACAGUCUGCAUCUAUUAACCCCAAAUUCCCAGUCCAUCCUGCUCCCUUCCCCCUCGGUAACCUCAAGUCUAAGUAUCUGUCUAUUGUAAACAUUCAGAAAUUUAUGGAAACCCUGAAACCACCUUGUUAAAAGUGAAAUUUAAAAAAAAUGAAAACUUAAAAUUAAUUUAGCUAUGUUAAAAUUUUGUUGGAAAAGGGUGAAUUAUAAAUCAAAAUACAUAUAACUUUAUGCUACCGAAGGAUACCCUUCUUGCUGCUCUCUUCGAAAAAGAGAGUUUGGCCACUUUAUUUUUACCGAGAAGCUGAUACAGCAGCCUGGGUGUUUUUCUUCUCAGUAAGAAAAGAAUAUAUUUGACAUGUCAAUGGCAAUGAUUGCUUCAAAACAAGCAGAGAUGUGGAAAUUGAAAUAGGGGCCCAGUGGAGCUCUUACAGUUCAUGCAUGUAGGUGUUUCAGUGGCUUCCAUUCACUUUGUAGCUUCCAUAUCAAUGGCAAGGAAAAUAGGUUUGAUUGGAUUUGGCAGUAGCUUUCCUCGAACAAUAUUUUCAAGAGAUAGGAUUGUUCAGGGUUGAAUUCCCAAUUAUUUCCUGCUGUAAGAAGCAGUAUAAAACAAUGUCUCCAGCAUCAAAUGUAAUUAGUUCUUCUAUUGACUUGUGUGUUUUUAAUGUUAAAAUUAUAUUCCUCUGUGGAGAGAAUCGACAGAUACCAUUCUUCCUCAUGUAUGCAUUAAUAUCCUAGAAAACUGAGUGGAUUUGUUUGACAACUUAUUCCUGUGUCUCUGAGAUCAAAGCUCUGAAGAGUUCUGAGAUCAAAGCACUAAGGAGAUGGGCUAUAGGAUGUAACAAGCAUAAAAUUUUGAAAGUAUUCAACUAACAGAGAUUGUGGAUUUUAUCUCACCCCCCCCACAUAUCAAGUUCCUUUAUCAUCAUUUGAAUAUUAUAGUACUCAAAGGGAAAAGGGAACACUCACGUUUAUACAAGCAUUAUUCACAAUGGCCAAAAGGCAAAAGCGGCCCAAGUGUCCACUGAUGGAUGAAUGAAUAAACUGUGGUUUAUGCCUACAAUGAACUAUUAGUCAGCAUUUAAAAGGAAGGGAAUUCUGUCAUAUGUUGUAACAUAGAUCAACCUGGAGGAUGUUAAGCUAAGUGAAACAAGAAGACAAUUAGUAUACGAUUCCACUUAUAUGAGGUAAAAAAGUAACUGGGUUCAUAGAAACAGAAAGCAGAAUGGUAGUGAGCAGGGCCAGAGGGGGCACUGAAAUGGGGAGCUGUUGUUUAACAUGCAUACAGUUUUAGUUUUGUAAGAUGAAAAAACUCCUGAGACUUGUUGAACACUAAUGGGAUGCCUUAUUGAUAGAGAAAUGAAGUAGACAUCAUAUCAGUGAACCCUGGAAAAGUUGGAAAAAGAGAUGCACUGAUAUGAAGUGAGUUGCAAUACAUGUGUCCUUGUCUCCUCCCUGGGGAUGUGUCCUGAUGUAAACAUCUGGGAGGGGUAUAGAAAGAUCUGGGAGCAUCAGGGCAAGCUGCCCUGGCUUAGGCAGGAAGGACACAAGCCUGUAGGAAAACUCCUCAUCCUUUUCAUCCAGUAGGGCACAGGGAUACUAUUGCAGUAUCUGCAAGGGAUGUGGCCUGUGCAGGGAGGCUCGGGGUGGAGAAGUGCGUAUAGGCUGAGAGGGUUUCAGAAAGGAUGCUAAUACAAUGUCCCAAGAAACAGUGCCUGCAGACACCACCUGAGAGAAGCAGAUCAGCACUGCAAUAAAGAAUAUGAAUUCUGAAUCCAGUCUACCUUGGUUUUUAUUUCUGGUUUCUCUACCUUUGAGCUGUGCAUAUUUGGACAAGUUUGUAUCUUAAUUUCAUUCCUUAAGUUGUACUACUAACAAUACCCACCUCAUUUUGUUAGAGGAUUAAAAGUAUACAUGAAAUCCUCACACAACACUUGACACAGAGUUCUCAAAAAUAUCAGUCGUUAUUUAUUAUUAUUGAAAAGGAAUGGAAGGAGAGUGAUCAAACAUAUAUCUGUCAACACUGCCUAAAGAGCUAAGUCAUCCACCUUCACACAGAAAUUCUAAAGCUUCCAUAUUUUGCCAUCUGACUGAGUAUGGGUUAGGGGAGAACAGAUGAUCGGUUAUUAUAAAACACUUUAAAAGCUAAUUUUUUCAUACAUUGAGUGGAUGUGAAUAAAUUGUUGAUUCCACUAGUUAUGGGUCCUUCAAUAUUCCUAAUCUGUGUGCCUGAAUCUAAUAUUUGUGGGAUUUUGGAGAAAAACAAGUAGAGGCUCAUACGCCAUCCACACUAAUGUUUAAAUGAUACAAAUCAAGCUAAUAAAUAUAAUUUUUAAAAUUUUAAUUUAUUUUUAUUUUUAUUAUCCUUUUGGUUUGAAACCUACACCUUUACAAUGAUCUAGAAGGCCAGACUCAAAUUGAGAAUUAGCAGAGACUUCCAUGCUGGAACCUAGUGGGGCAGGGAAAGUAGGCUGUGAGCCUCUCACCCGCCCUCUUCUCUUUCCACCAUCCAUGACCCGCACUGCAAGAGGCCUAAUGUACAUACACUUUGUCAGUCACAUCAGCAAACUCUAUCCAUACCCUUGUAAACAGACAUCCCUUGUCCACUCCUCAGACCAAGAGAUGCAGACAUCAACUACCUGGGCCACCCUCCCAGUUCUUGAAGCAUGGUGUGGUUGGGGAAGAGGCCUGGGCUUUAGGUGGACAUGUCUCUUUAACCCAGUUAGCUCCUUGCCCUGUAGAGAUGUUGGCCAGUGAACCCCAGCAGUAUUUACUCAUGGAGCCCAGAGUAAGAGCUCUGCUUGCCUGCACCUGUAGGUAGCAAUGUGCACCAGAAACUGAUUCCAAAUCCCUCAAUUUACAACUACAGAGCAAAAUCAUCCAAAGUUAGAGGCCAUCUCAACCCUGAAGGAGAAAGAAUAUAUAGUAGGAGCUGAAAGAUAUUCAACAAAAAGAGGAAUGAAAGAGAGAGAGAAGUCUAGGUCUAAGGCCUUUCUUAAAAUCAGUUCUUUUGAAAAGAACAAAUCUUUUCCAGAAAGAGAAACCCAGCGUUCCAACUCCAGCAACAGCAGUUUAGGUUGUGAAUGUGGCGACUGGAGAUGUACCAUUUUCCAUUGACUCUAAGAAGCAUAUUUAUUUUACAUUUUAACAUCUUGGGAUUGGAAUGUUUCCUAUAAUUGAUGGUACUUUACGGUGGCCAUUGACCAAGCAACAGUUGUGACAUGGUAGUCGGUGCCUGUGCGUGCACAAACUGUUCACCAACCUCUCUUCACGUGUGUGAAUCCUUGGCUCUGUGUAAGCGGCAUUGCUAGUGUAAAUGUCUUCAAACAGAUUACACCAUAAUUUGGCACUGAAACAAGUUACCUUGUGUGCAGGAAGACAUCGAAAUGGAACAGCAGGGCAUAAAUUGGAUGUUAGUGAAACAAAUGUUCAUAAUUAGAAGAAUACCUACAACUUCAUGACUGUUUGCAAAAUAACAACCAAGUGGAUUAUGGGUCUAACAGGAAGAUGGGCACAAGUUACUGAGUUUACUGUAGCAUUGUUUAAUGCUACAAUAAUGUUACAUAAAGUCCUUAAAACAACUCAUUUAUCAGAGUUCCUGUUGUGGCCCAGCGGAAAUGAAUCUAACUAGUAUCCAUGAGGUCAUAGGUUCCAUCCCUGGCCUCGCUCAGUGGUUUAAGGAUCUGGCAUUGCCGUGAGCUGUGGCGUAGGUCACAGA
This 3922-nucleotide long non-coding RNA is filed under the name Sus scrofa (pig). RNAcentral describes it as "lncRNA (ENSSSCG00030065225.1)". The record is from RNAcentral. Lineage: Eukaryota; Metazoa; Chordata; Mammalia; Artiodactyla; Suidae.